AGUGAACGCUGGCGGUAGGCCUAACACAUGCAAGUCGAACGGCAGCACAGUAAGAGCUUGCUCUUACGGGUGGCGAGUGGCGGACGGGUGAGGAAUACAUCGGCAUCUACUUUUUCGUGGGGGAUAACGUAGGAAACCUACUCCUAACACCUAUUCUAACUACCGGUUUAAUCCAGGGGUCUUCGGCCCUUUUGCGGUUUAAUUUGGCCGAUUUUGGAUUAGCUAGUUGGCGGGGUAAAGGCCCACCAAGCCGACGAUCCGUAGCUGGUCUGAGAGGAUGAUCAGCCACACUGGAACUGAGACACGGUCCAGACUCCUACGGGAGGCAGCAGUGGGGAAUAUUGGACAAUGGGCGCAAGCCUGAUCCAGCCAUACCGCGUGGGUGAAGAAGGCCUUCGGGUUGUAAAGCCCUUUUGUUGGGAAAGAAAAGCAGCAGGUGAAUACCCCGCUGUUCUGACGGUACCCAAAGAAUAAGCAACGGCUAACUUCGUG
Molecule: ribosomal RNA, 492 nt
Filed under: uncultured bacterium
Lineage: Bacteria
Description: partial 16S ribosomal RNA
Rfam family: Bacterial small subunit ribosomal RNA
Source: RNAcentral